This 471-nucleotide ribosomal RNA is filed under the name uncultured bacterium. RNAcentral's name for it is "partial 16S ribosomal RNA". It matches the Rfam family "Bacterial small subunit ribosomal RNA", at positions 28 to 507 of the family's 1533-position model. The record is from RNAcentral.
GACGAACGCUGGCGGCGUGCUUAACACAUGCAAGUCGAACGGAAAGGCCCUGCUUGCCGGGUGCUCGAGUGGCGAACGGGUGAGUAACAUGUGGGUGAUCUGCCCCUUACUUUGGGAUAAGCCUGGGAAACUGGGUCUAAUACUGGAUAGGACCAUGCUGUAGGUGGUGUGGUGGAAAGAUUUUUUCGGUAAGGGAUGAGCUCGCGGCCUAUCAGCUUGUUGGUGGGGUAAUGGCCUACCAAGGCGUCGACGGGUAGCCGGCCUGAGAGGGUGGACGGCCACAUUGGGACUGAGAUACGGCCCAGACUCCUACGGGAGGCAGCAGUGGGGAAUAUUGCACAAUGGGCGCAAGCCUGAUGCAGCGACGCCGCGUGGGGGAUGACGGCCUUCGGGUUGUAAACUCCUUUCAGCCAUGACGAAGCCUCUUUUGGGGUGACGGUAGUGGUAGAAGAAGCACCGGCUAACUACGUG